AUGAACGAUCAGACAUGUGCCCCACCUGUACUUCAUUAUAUACAACCAUAUUGUGGGCUUGAUGAAGCAUGCGCUCAUGUAGAGUUGGCCAUCUUCGCCGUCAUCGACGGCCUUAUGGCUAAUACACACAUCAACCCCGGCGUGAUUGGUGCUCUUAUCACGAACUGCAGCGCAUUUAUCCCGGUACCUUCCAUGGCUGACAUGAUUGUGAACAGAUACAAAUUGCGAGGUGAUCUUCGUGUCGUCAACCUCUCUGGGAUGGCGUGCUCUGCAGCGGUGACCUCAGUAAGGCUCACAAGCAACAUGAUGCAAGUCAUGCCUUGGGGGUCGCAUAUGUUGGUCGUCUCCACCACUACGGGAAACAACUAA
This 369-nucleotide ribosomal RNA is filed under the name Triticum aestivum (bread wheat). RNAcentral's name for it is "partial small subunit ribosomal RNA". Lineage: Eukaryota; Viridiplantae; Streptophyta; Magnoliopsida; Poales; Poaceae. The record is from RNAcentral.